RNAcentral lists this transfer RNA (42 nucleotides) under Osphya bipunctata. RNAcentral describes it as "partial tRNA-Leu". Lineage: Eukaryota; Metazoa; Arthropoda; Insecta; Coleoptera; Melandryidae. The record is from RNAcentral.
AAUGGAUUUAAGCCCCAUAUAUAAAGUUUUCUUUUUUUAGAA